RNAcentral lists this ribosomal RNA (439 nucleotides) under uncultured Peptococcaceae bacterium. Its description in RNAcentral is "bacterial SSU rRNA". It matches the Rfam family "Bacterial small subunit ribosomal RNA", at positions 71 to 487 of the family's 1533-position model. Lineage: Bacteria; Bacillati; Bacillota; Clostridia; Eubacteriales; Peptococcaceae. The record is from RNAcentral.
UUCGAGCUUCGAACAUCGAGAUAGUGGCGGACGGGUGAGUAACGCGUGGGUAACCUACCCAACAGACCGGGACAACACUUGGAAACGAGUGCUAAUACCGGAUACCCUAUGACUCCGGCAUCGGAGAGAUAGGAAAGGUGGCCUCUAUUAAUAAGCUACCGUUGUAGGAUGGACCCGCGUCUGAUUAGCUAGUUGGUGGGGUAACGGCCUACCAAGGCGACGAUCAGUAGCCGGCCUGAGAGGGUGAACGGCCACACUGGGACUGAGACACGGCCCAGACUCCUACGGGAGGCAGCAGUGGGGAAUCUUCCGCAAUGGACGAAAGUCUGACGGAGCAACGCCGCGUGUAUGAUGAAGGCCUUCGGGUUGUAAAGUACUGUCUUUGGGGAAGAAUGGUAGCUAUGAAAAUAUUGUCGCUACCUGACGGUACCAGAAGGAG